Molecule: ribosomal RNA, 775 nt
Filed under: uncultured archaeon
Lineage: Archaea
Description: bacterial SSU rRNA
Rfam family: Archaeal small subunit ribosomal RNA
Source: RNAcentral
UGGACAACCUGCCCUUAGGUUGGGUAUAAACCCGGGAAACUGGGUAUAAUACCCGAUAGGUCUCGAUUGCUGGAAUGCAUCGAGAUUUAAAGCUCCGGCGCCUAAGGAUGGGUCUGCGGCCUAUCAGGUAGUAGUGGGUGUAGCGUACCUACUAGCCUACGACGGGUACGGGUUGUGAGAGCAAGAGCCCGGAGAUGGAUUCUGAGACACGAAUCCAGGCCCUACGGGGUGCAGCAGGCGCGAAAACUUUACAAUGCUGGCAACAGCGACAAGGGAACCUCGAGUGCCAGGUUACAAAUCUGGCUGUCGAGAUGCCUAAAAAGCAUUUCAUAGCAAGGGCCGGGCAAGACCGGUGCCAGCCGCCGCGGUAACACCGGCGGCUCGAGUGGUAACCGUUAUUAUUGGGUCUAAAGGGUCUGUAGCCGGCCGGAUAAGUCUCUUGAGAAAUCUGGCAGCUUAACUGUCAGGCUUUCAGGAGAUACUGUCUGGCUCGAGGCCGGGAGAGGUGAGAGGUACUUCAGGGGUAGGGGUGAAAUCUUGUAAUCCUUGAAGGACCACCAGUGGCGAAGGCGUCUCACCAGAACGGACCUGACGGCAAGGGACGAAAGCUAGGGGCACGAACCGGAUUAGAUACCCGGGUAGUCCUAGCCGUAAACGAUACUCGCUAGGUGUCGGCCACGGUGCGACCGUUGUCGGUGCCGUAGGGAAGCCGUGAAGCGAGCCACCUGGGAAGUACGGCCGCAAGGCUGAAACUUAAAGGAAUUGGCGGGGGAGC